This 499-nucleotide ribosomal RNA is filed under the name uncultured bacterium. RNAcentral describes it as "partial 16S ribosomal RNA". It matches the Rfam family "Bacterial small subunit ribosomal RNA", at positions 30 to 523 of the family's 1533-position model. The record is from RNAcentral.
AUUGAACGCUGGCGGCAUGCCUUACACAUGCAAGUCGAACGGCAGCACGGGAGCAAUCCUGGUGGCGAGUGGCGAACGGGUGAGUAAUGUAUCGGAACGUGCCCAGUCGUGGGGGAUAACGUAGCGAAAGUUACGCUAAUACCGCAUACGAUCUUUGGAUGAAAGCGGGGGAUCGCAAGACCUCGCGCGAUUGGCGCGGCCGAUAUCAGAUUAGGUAGUUGGUGGGGUAAAGGCUCACCAAGCCGACGAUCUGUAGCUGGUCUGAGAGGACGACCAGCCACACUGGGACUGAGACACGGCCCAGACUCCUACGGGAGGCAGCAGUGGGGAAUUUUGGACAAUGGGCGCAAGCCUGAUCCAGCAAUGCCGCGUGCAGGACGAGGCCUUCGGGUUGUAAACUGCUUUUGUACGGAACGAAACGGUCCUCUUUAAUACAGAGGGCUAAUGACGGUACCGUAAGAAUAAGCACCGGCUAACUACGUGCCAGCCGCCGCCGUAA